UGCCGCGUGUGUGAAGAAGGCCUUUUGGUUGUAAAGCACUUUAAGCAGUGAAGAAGACCAUAUGGUUAAUACCCAUAUGCGAUGACAUUAGCUGCAGAAUAAGCACCGGCUAACUCUGUGCCAGCAGCCGCGGUAAUACAGAGGGUGCAAGCGUUAAUCGGAAUUACUGGGCGUAAAGCGAGCGUAGGUGGCUUGAUAAGUCAGAUGUGAAAUCCCCGGGCUUAACCUGGGAACUGCAUCUGAUACUGUCAGGCUAGAAUAGGUGAGAGGAAGGUAGAAUUCCAGGUGUAGCGGUGAAAUGCGUAGAGAUCUGGAGGAAUACCGAUGGCGAAGGCAGCCUUCUGGCAUCAUAUUGACACUGAGGUUCGAAAGCGUGGGUAGCAAACAGGAUUAGAUACCCUGGUAGUCCACGCCGUAAACGAUGUCUACUAGUCGUUGGGUCCCUUGAGGACUUAGUGACGCAGCUAACGCAAUAAGUAGACCGCCUGGGGAGUACGGCCGCAAGGUUAAAACUCA
This 516-nucleotide ribosomal RNA is filed under the name Psychrobacter sp. RNAcentral's name for it is "bacterial SSU rRNA". It matches the Rfam family "Bacterial small subunit ribosomal RNA", at positions 395 to 903 of the family's 1533-position model. Lineage: Bacteria; Pseudomonadati; Pseudomonadota; Gammaproteobacteria; Moraxellales; Moraxellaceae. The record is from RNAcentral.